This 462-nucleotide ribosomal RNA is filed under the name uncultured bacterium. RNAcentral describes it as "partial 16S ribosomal RNA". It matches the Rfam family "Bacterial small subunit ribosomal RNA", at positions 28 to 507 of the family's 1533-position model. The record is from RNAcentral.
GACGAACGCUGGCGGCGUGCUUAACACAUGCAAGUCGAGCGGUAAGGCCUUUCGGGGUACACGAGCGGCGAACGGGUGAGUAACACGUGGGUGAUCUGCCCUGCACUUCGGGAUAAGCCUGGGAAACUGGGUCUAAUACCGGAUAUGACCUCCUAUCGCAUGGUGGGUGGUGGAAAGAUUUAUCGGUGCAGGAUGGGCCCGCGGCCUAUCAGCUUGUUGGUGGGGUAAUGGCCUACCAAGGCGACGACGGGUAGCCGACCUGAGAGGGUGACCGGCCACACUGGGACUGAGACACGGCCCAGACUCCUACGGGAGGCAGCAGUGGGGAAUAUUGCACAAUGGGCGAAAGCCUGAUGCAGCGACGCCGCGUGAGGGACGACGGCCUUCGGGUUGUAAACCUCUUUCAGCAGGGACGAAGCGCAAGUGACGGUACCUGCAGAAGAAGCACCGGCUAACUACGUG